This 784-nucleotide ribosomal RNA is filed under the name Lentilactobacillus kefiri. RNAcentral's name for it is "bacterial SSU rRNA". It matches the Rfam family "Bacterial small subunit ribosomal RNA", at positions 331 to 1105 of the family's 1533-position model. Lineage: Bacteria; Bacillati; Bacillota; Bacilli; Lactobacillales; Lactobacillaceae. The record is from RNAcentral.
CCAGACUCCUACGGGAGGCAGCAGUAGUGGAAUCUUCCACAAUGGACGAAAGUCUGAUGGAGCAACGCCGCGUGAGUGAUGAAGGGUUUCGGCUCGUAAAACUCUGUUGUUGGAGAAGAACAGGUGUCAGAGUAACUGUUGACAUCUUGACGGUAUCCAACCAGAAAGCCACGGCUAACUACGUGCCAGCAGCCGCGGUAAUACGUAGGUGGCAAGCGUUGUCCGGAUUUAUUGGGCGUAAAGCGAGCGCAGGCGGUUUCUUAGGUCUGAUGUGAAAGCCUUCGGCUUAACCGGAGAAGUGCAUCGGAAACCAGGAGGCUUGAGUGCAGAAGAGGGCAGUGGAACUCCAUGUGUAGCGGUGAAAUGCGUAGAUAUAUGGAAGAACACCAGUGGCGAAGGCGGCUGUCUGGUCUGUAACUGACGCUGAGGCUCGAAAGCAUGGGUAGCGAACAGGAUUAGAUACCCUGGUAGUCCAUGCCGUAAACGAUGAGUGCUAAGUGUUGGAGGGUUUCCGCCCUUCAGUGCUGCAGCUAACGCAUUAAGCACUCCGCCUGGGGAGUACGACCGCAAGGUUGAAACUCAAAGGAAUUGACGGGGGCCCGCACAAGCGGUGGAGCAUGUGGUUUAAUUCGAUGCUACGCGAAGAACCUUACCAGGUCUUGACAUCUUCUGCCAACCUAAGAGAUUAGGCGUUCCCUUCGGGGACAGAAUGACAGGUGGUGCAUGGUUGUCGUCAGCUCGUGUCGUGAGAUGUUGGGUUAAGUCCCGCAACGAGCGCAACCCU